This 1312-nucleotide long non-coding RNA is filed under the name Mytilus galloprovincialis (Mediterranean mussel). The record is from RNAcentral. Lineage: Eukaryota; Metazoa; Mollusca; Bivalvia; Mytilida; Mytilidae.
UUGGUAUUGAGCAUACAGUUUACAUGUAAAUUAAGUGUGAUAUAGACAUUAUUCAUACAUAGUUUUGUAAUUAGACUUGAACAUUUUGUGUUUGUUGAGACCCCAUACACUUGUAUCCCUACCCCCGGGAAAGGUCAUAGAGGUCAACCGGAAGUACUAGAUAUUGACAUUUUUGUUUACAUUAGCAACUACAUAUCAGUAGUUAGCAGUUAGAUACACUGAUUUAAAAUUUACUUUUGAUUUUUGUGCAUACACACAUACACUUAGUUGUACAUUGAAAAUAUUUUACAAAUUUAUUUGUCUUAUUUGGACUUAGUAAAAUUACCAGUGAGAUAUCAACAUACACUGAUUGAUUGAUAGUUACACAUAAACACACAUAGUCCAUUCCACCUUGACUUAGCAUUUCACAUUGUACUUUACAUUGUUUAUAUUUGUACAUUGUCAUGUUUAUUGUUUAUGUGUAUUGCAUUUGACAUUGUUCAUUGUUGUUUACAUUGUCAUAUAUGUAUGUGUAUUGUGUACAUGUGUAUUGUGAAAUUGAUUUGUUUGUGUACAAUUGUCAUUGAUAUUUGUUACAUUUAACAUUUGAUGAAAUAGUUAAACUUUUCUAGAAACUAAAUUUUAAAUUAAAAGUUAAAACUUUAAAAGUUUAAUUGAGAUCAGUGAGCUUGUGUAGUACAAUUAACACUUGAUUAUUUAACCUUCAUACUUACCAUCCUUACUUAUCCACCAUAUUACACCAUACCUAGGAAAGGCACUUAUACUAUAUUUAACUUUCUAUUACUCUUUCUUGGACUUAGUCUUUAGUGGAGAGAGUUAUUUAGGUUGGUUUAGGUUAGCUUGGUAUAGUUUGUUGUUAGUUUAGUUGUACUUUGACUUGAGUAGAUUGGAACAGUGAUACAGUAUAGUUAUCUUGUGAUUAUAUUGUCCUAGUUGUAUAUAUAGUUGUCUGUAUAUUCAUUUGUAUAUAUUUAACUUGCAUAUUUAUUUACAUAUUUUUUUUUCUCUUUGAUUUGAUAUCAUACUUGUUUGACAUGGGUUUGUAGACGUACAAGCUUUACAACUCAUAUACAAGUUCAGGUUUUGCAUAUAGUUGGUAAGUCAUUGUGGUUAUAUAUAUAUUUCUUAUAUUGAUUUGUGUUAUUCUCUUUAGUAUUGUUUAUAUAUAGUGAUUAUCUUGAAUUGCUUUUCAUUUAUUAAUACAUUGAUUUUCUUUGUAGUUAUUAAUAUCUUUAUUUUCUUUUUGAUUUUCAGAUAUACUAUUUUGGUUUAGAGUCUAUACUGUGUGAUUUUGAUUGACUUAUACUUUAUU